GUGUUCCAUCUUCAGGUGUGUUUUAUUUGUACAAAAGAAAGUGAUUAUUCUAGAGCUGGGAGGCCAUAUUCUAAAAUACUUUCAAUAACAUAAUUUUUUGUAUAUUAAAGGGGUUCGCGAAGUUUGUUUUCAGCAACCUUCAGCUGAAUUUUUAUUUGUAAAGCAAUAUUUUCGAUGUAGCAUAAUUAUUAGGGAGCACAAUUUGAAGUCGUUCGUAAACUUUUUAUUUGUUAUUUCUAAAAAAAUGCAAAGUUUGAUUGAUGGCGUGUCUCGGGGAUCAAGCUGUGCCUCUAGUGGCGGAAGCCAUUCUGACGUAAGCUAUCUCAUUGGAAAUUCGAUAGCUACACCUACAAGUCAGGCACUAAAAACUCAACGCAACUUCAAAUUAUUGUCUGAUCCAGCUUUAAUCAAGGGCGCUACAAAAACUUAUCGUUAUGAUGGAGUUUGCCCAACAGACCAAACUUAUUCACCGGUGAUUCCUAGGGAUCCACGGAAUCCUAUUGUUCGGAUGCGAGCCAGGCCAGUGGAACCCAUGGUCCUCAUUGUCCCGCGAUUAACAAUUGAUAAAAAUUACGUUGGUCAACCCCCCCCAAUUGAAAUUACUCUAACAAAUUUAAACGACAACAUAGAUAGGCAAUUUUUGGCAGGAAUGUUAAUCAAGUGUGGCCCUUAUGAUGAGCUAUUAAUAUAUCACCAUCCGAAAACAAAUAAACAUCUUGGAGUCGCGCGAAUUGUGUUUGAAAACAUUAAAGGCGCUCGGUUGUGUGUUGAGAAAUACAAUCAGAAAUCUGUAAUGGGAAAGGUGUUAAGCGUAUUCCAUGACCCUUUUGGUCUUAUUUGCAAGCAAACAGUUGAUCAUUUGUCAACAGGAAAACCCAAACAUUUUCCCAACGUGAUUGACGAAGGGCAAUUCUCUAGACCACAACAAUCUGUCUCAGUGACACAAAACAGCGCAAUUCAUGGACCGUCUCAACCUCUGAAAGAGUAUAAAAAUGAAGAAUCUUUUAAAGACGAAGAGCUGUCAGGAUAUCAAACGUUUCGAACGAAUCGAGAUUAUUAUAUACAGCCCUAUCGGAGGCAUAUGGUAGAUGAAUAUCAAAGUAAAGACUCUAGAGAAAAGGAGCGUAUUCGAGAUAAAUACUCAUAUCAAACGUAUGAUCGUAGUAAGAAUCAUCAUAACAGGCAUGAAACUGAAAGAGACGUUUCUACCGAAAGAAAUAGAGAGCGGAGCAACCAUCGUGAUCGUGAAAGAGACAGGGAUUACUACAAAUCUCGACAUCGCGAUAGACGACAUGAUCAUGAUGAACAAAACGAAAGGGACUAUCGUAAAAGAAAUAUAACACGAUGUGAUAAGGACAGAGAAAGAGGAAAAGGUCGUAAUCUGACACAAGUCACAAAGGAGUAUGAAUCAUCAAAUAAUUUUAAGAAUAAUUCGGAAAUUGCCGAGGUAGACAAGUUCUAUUUUCAUCAUCUCGGAGCUUCAAUCCAGCAACAUUCUGCGCCUUCGUUAAAUAUAACAUCGGACCCAGGCUACACUUACUCUACUUAUGGUUAUAAUACCGAAUGUGCUCAAAAUACUUGGGCAGGUCAAAGGUCAUGGACUGCACCGCAGCCUCAAUCGCAGCCAAAAGUUGAAAUUCCACCACCACCUCCUCCCGAUAAAACACCAAAUUGGGAUGAUCCAGAGCCUCCGCCUCCGGGACAAGCAAGUCCUGAAAAUUUAAAUCCGCAAUUCAAUAAAUCAAGUAUGCCGCCAGAAAAUGAUUCCAAGGGAAUUAUUUCAGAGAAAACUGAAAAUAACGAACUAGGGAAGGUAGACUUGGAUACCAGAAUAGAGAUGAUGUUUAAAAGGAAAUCCUUCGGGAAUCCUCCACCAUUCCUCCAAAUUGAGAGUAGUGAAUCGGAGACAGAAAACAGCACAGAAAAAAAGGAUGAAAUGAAAACAACUUCCGAUGAUACUCAAAAGUCGAAGUUAAAAUUAUCAUUUAAAAAACAAAAUAAAAUGGCGCAACCAUAUGAACAACAAGAUGCAAGUGACAUUUCCUCAAGCGAUGAUGAAAUUCUUCAUAAAAAAGAAUCUUUGAGUCCCAUACUCAUACAAAAGGAAGAGGAUCACAUGUCUCUAUCAAGCCUAUCUUCUCAUGACGUUAUACACCGCAAAGAAAAGUCAAUGCAAUCCCAUAAUGCUUCAGAGAAGCGUACGAACUUUACAGAAAAGGAUAUAGGAUCAAGAUACAGUACAUAUUCAUAUUCUAAUAAUGAAUAUUAUAAGCAGAACUUAAUUUACUCUUUGCCACUUUACCCCGAUAUAUCAACGCCUCAUUUUCCAAACCCAGCAUAUAUGCAUUCAGCGUACAUGCCUGGCUUUAGAAGCAUAACAUAUGGAUCAUCAUAUAAUGAGGAGUAUGGUCAUUGUACUCAACCAUUGAGCAACGAUAAAAUAUAUUCUGGUUAUACUUACAACCAAAAUGAUCCAUUUAAAAAGCAAAUAGAUGCAGUUGUUGAUCGAGUAAGUACUGAAUUGAAGCAAAUACUUAAAAGAGAUUUUAAUAAAAAAAUGAUAGAAAAUACUGCUUAUAAAAAUUUUGAGUCUUGGUGGGAUGAUCAAAUGCAGAAAAGUCGACAUAAGAACAGGGAUUCAGUGUUAAAUGACAAAAAUACGUUAAUUUCUGAUACUUCGUCAUCAAAAAGAGUGGAUAAGGCUCCAGAUAUAAACCAGAUAAUUAAUAAUCAAUGUGAUAUGACUGAUUUGUGUUCAUUUACUAGCCUUGGUCUUAGGGCUUCGAUUCCGAAAUUGCCUUCUUUUCGUAGAAUUCGCAAGAAAUCCAUAUCACCGGCUAAGGAUGACUAUGAAAAGCAUUUAAGUGACCAGGAUGAAAUGGUUCGUGGUUCUGAUUCUGAAAAAGAAGAUACAAACGUGGAUAUGAGUAACAUUCGUAAGAAAACUGACCUUUCGCCAAAGUCAAAGAUAAAACCAAACUCACCUAGUUCUUCUUCAUCGGAAUCGGAUGAUAGUAGUGAAGGUGAGUCAAGCGAUGAGAGUGAAGCAUCUGGAGAUGACUUUAGUUCGUGUUCCGAAAAUGGGGGCAACCGAAGUAAUUCUUGGAAAGCAGAUAUUGAAGGAAAGAAAGAAAAAGCUAUAUAUUCUAAAAACGACAUAUACUCAGAUAGCGAAAAUGAGCAAGGCACGUACAGUAAGGUAAUAGAAUCCGUUAAUAUCGACCGCAGAAAAUCUUCUAGUGUAAAUAAAGACUUCUCCAUUACGUCCGAUUUGGAAGACAUUAGUAAGGACAGCAAUAUUACUAUAGAAGAUACAGAAGAAAAGGACAAUAAACAAGUAAUUGAAAGCGCUACAGUUUUAAAUGAAAGUUCAAUUACAUCACUUCCGAAUGAGUCAAAUAUAGAAAAGAUUGACAAGAAAACAAAAAAUUCAUCGCAUUUCGGAUAUGAUCGCAUUUAUAGUGAUUCUGAGGAAGAGCGGGAGUAUCAAGAGCGACGCCGACGUAACACCGAGUAUAUGGCUCAAAUAGAACGUGAGUUCCUUGAGGAACAGGCACUGAAACUGCGCGAAGUUCAAAAAGCGAGUCAUGUUAGUGUGGAAAAUGAAAAUGAAAAACCUGCUCACGUACAAAAUAUAUCAGAUUUACCAAAUGAAACAGAAUAUCCUUACAAAAAACCUACAUCUGCAACUUUAGAAAACUCGUUACCAUUAGAAAAAAUUGUGGAUGAUACGAAUUUCGCUGAUAGAAAGAAAGAUAAAAAUAAGGGAAAAAUAAAGAAUGAAGCCAAAUAUAAAAGAAAGCAGGAAUAUAAAAGUAAAAAUCAACUUUUUACAGCACCUUUACCUUUACAAAAUUUGUCGGAAACAUGUAACAAACAGUUAAUCAAAUCAACUAAUGGAUUAGAGGAAGAACAUAUAAGUACGAACGAAUUUGAAAAACUUGUGACAAAUCAAGUUUAUAAAGAAUUUAACGAUGAUGUAAAAAUGUCACCAUCCUCUGAUGGUGGCUCAAGUCAGGCAAGCCAAGCUAGUCAAGUUGCUUUAGAGCACUGUUAUUCAUUACCGCCACAUGCUGAUACAUCAAAAGGUUCUCAUCAAAAAGAAAAACAAAUUUAUCCCAACAGAUAUAAUGCCAAUGAAAAGCAACAAAAUUUAGAACAUGAUCACGGUAGUUAUGCUAAUGUUAAUACUUCAGGAAAUAGUACAGAACUGUUUUCUACUGAGAAAGAAAAAACAAUUCAUCGGCAAAAUACAAAGCCAGGUCCUGGUCGUCCAAGAAAGGAUCCAGCGAAAAUGCGUAGGAGAAAUGGCGUAGCACAAAGUUCUAAUAAACUAGAAAUGGAUAAAAAUGUUCUCACAAGAGAUAUGUUGAUGCGAAAUCUAGUUUCCCAAACCCAUUAUAUUCCAUUAGAGCUUUUCAAAGCCCGAGAUGCAACGGAUGAGUUGAUGGUCUUGUAUGAAUUUCUUACAAAGGGAAUUGACUUUGAAGAUAUUAAAUAUAUACGGAGGAGCUAUGAAAUACAUCUCCAAGAAGAUACUUAUGGAUUUUGGUUGAAUAACACCCAUUGGGUAGACCAUUGCAUAACUGAUCGCUCCUUCCUUCCACCUCCACCCAAAAAGCGGAAACGAGAAGACGAACUUAAGAAACACAAAUCAGGUUGCGCUCGCACCGAAGGAUAUUAUAAAUUAGAUAUCAGGGAGAAGGCUAAACAUAAAUAUCAUCAUGCUAAAUCUACUGCAGAAAGUACUCUCAGUAUAGAUAGGAAUGAAGAUCAAUUACAGCAAUCACAUAAUAAAUUAGUAUCAAAAAUGCAAGGUAUAUCACGUGAAGCAAGAUCUAAUCAACGGCGCUUGCUAACUGCAUUCGGUUCAAUCGGAGAGUCUGAAUUGUUAAAGUUUAACCAGUUGAAAUUUAGAAAGAAGCAACUGAAGUUUGCAAAAUCCGCUAUACAUGAUUGGGGAUUAUUUGCAAUGGAACCGAUAGCAGCGGAUGAAAUGGUUAUAGAAUAUGUCGGUCAAAUGAUACGUCCAAUAGUUGCUGAUUUACGAGAAUCUAAAUACGAGGCAAUAGGUAUUGGAAGUUCAUAUUUAUUUAGAAUUGAUAUGGAAACAAUUAUUGAUGCUACAAAGUGUGGCAAUUUGGCACGUUUUAUUAAUCACAGUUGUAACCCAAACUGCUACGCUAAGGUUAUUACUAUUGAAUCUGAAAAAAAGAUUGUCAUAUACUCGAAGCAACCGAUUGGAAUAAACGAAGAGAUAACUUAUGACUAUAAAUUUCCAUUAGAAGAUGAAAAAAUUCCCUGCUUAUGCGGAGCACAGGGAUGCCGGGGAACUCUCAACUAAUUGCGAUAUUUUAGUUCUUAUCAAUACCUCAUUAAGUAAACUUUGAAAAUAUAUAUAUCCGAUGAUAACCAGCGGUACAGAUGUGAUUAUGCGCGAUAUCCUGGUAGUACGACGACUCUCGUGUACAUGGACUAUAAGCGAUGUCAAGAAGUACUUCGAAAGAAGUUACAGGAAAGAAAAACGAAAUGUACUACAGGAGGUACACCAUUACUGAUGACAUCAUUUCGUUCGCAGGACAAAGAAUGUCCUGAAAGAGGUUUGAAAAAAAUAUAUUCGGAAGUCCGAAAUAUCGUCGAUAGAAAAAUCGGGUUAUUCAAAAAUCGACUUUGUUGUAUACUCGUACUUGGUGGGCUGUGCAUUGCAUAAGAUAAGCGAUCAUUGCCUUGUAAAAGAACCUUUGAUGAAGGCCAAACUGAGAAGCAACCGCCCUAGAUAAUUUUGAGUAAAAUGAAUCUGUAAAUUAUACAAGAGAAGCAAUAUAAAUGAUAAAGCAUUCUUAGAGCUUCGCCAAUAAUUUAUUUCAAUUUCUUUAAAUUCGUUUUUCAUAUUCUGGUAUACACAUAAAUAAAUAAAAAAAUAUACGUAUAGGGCAGCCUAGUCCUCAGUCUUCAUUUCAUUUAAAAUAUAAAAAAGAACUUAAACGAAUUUAAUUUAAGUUGCAAAUUCGUGUUGUCAAAAAUUCAACCAGUAAGGAUUAGCAAACAAAUGAUUUGUGAUCAUAUGAUUGAAUUUUUGUCCACAGC
This 6087-nucleotide unclassified non-coding RNA is filed under the name Ceratitis capitata (Mediterranean fruit fly). RNAcentral describes it as "histone-lysine N-methyltransferase SETD1, transcript variant X4". The record is from RNAcentral. Lineage: Eukaryota; Metazoa; Arthropoda; Insecta; Diptera; Tephritidae.